CCUACGGGGUGCAGCAGUGGGGACUAUUGGGCAAUGGGCGCAAGCCUGACCCAGCAACGCCGCGUGCAGGAAGAAGGCCCUCGGUUUGUAAACUUCUUUUGUCAGGGACGAAACAAAUGACGAUACCUGACGAAUAAGCCACGGCUAACUACGUGCCAGCCGCCGCGGUAAUACGUAGGUGGCAAGCGUUAUCCGGAUUUACUGGGUGUAAAGGGCGUGUAGGAGGGAGAGCAAGUCAGAUGUGAAAUUCCAGGGCUCAACCCAGGAACUGCAUUUGAAACUGUUUUUCUUGAGUGAUGGAGAGGCAGGCGGAAUUCCGGGUGUAGCGGUGAAAUGCGGAGAUAUACGGAGGAACACCAGUGGCGAAGGCGGCCUGCUGGACAUUAACUGACGCUGAGGCGCGAAAGCGUGGGGAGCAAACAGGAUUAGAUACCCUAGUAGUC
Molecule: ribosomal RNA, 443 nt
Filed under: uncultured bacterium
Lineage: Bacteria
Description: partial 16S ribosomal RNA
Rfam family: Bacterial small subunit ribosomal RNA
Source: RNAcentral